RNAcentral lists this ribosomal RNA (433 nucleotides) under uncultured bacterium. RNAcentral describes it as "partial 16S ribosomal RNA". It matches the Rfam family "Bacterial small subunit ribosomal RNA", at positions 36 to 507 of the family's 1533-position model. The record is from RNAcentral.
CCCUCCCUCUUUCUUCAUGCCUAACACAUGCAAGUCGAACGAGACCUUCGGGUCUAGUGGCGCACGGGUGCGUAACGCGUGGGAACCUGCCUUUAGGUUCGGAAUAACUCAGAGAAAUUUGAGCUAAUACCGGAUGAUGUCUUCGGACCAAAGAUUUAUCGCCUUUAGAUGGGCCCGCGUUGGAUUAGCUAGUUGGUGGGGUAAAGGCCUACCAAGGCGACGAUCCAUAGCUGGUCUGAGAGGAUGAUCAGCCACACUGGGACUGAGACACGGCCCAGACUCCUACGGGAGGCAGCAGUGGGGAAUAUUGGACAAUGGGCGAAAGCCUGAUCCAGCAAUGCCGCGUGAGUGAUGAAGGCCUUAGGGUUGUAAAGCUCUUUUACCCGAGAUGAUAAUGACAGUAUCGGGAGAAUAAGCUCCGGCUAACUCCGUG